This 496-nucleotide ribosomal RNA is filed under the name uncultured bacterium. RNAcentral describes it as "partial 16S ribosomal RNA". It matches the Rfam family "Bacterial small subunit ribosomal RNA", at positions 29 to 507 of the family's 1533-position model. The record is from RNAcentral.
AUGAACGCUGGCGGCGUGCCUCAUACCUGCAAGUCGAGCGCACAGACGAGGAGCUUGCUCCUCUGACGUUAGCGGCGGACGGGUGAGUAACACGUGGAUAACCUACCUAUAAGACUGGGAUAACUUCGGGAAACCGGAGCUAAUACCGGAUAAUAUAUUGAACCGCAUGGUUCAAUAGUGAAAGACGGUUUUGCUGUCACUUAUAGAUGGAUCCGCGCCGCAUUAGCUAGUUGGUAAGGUAACGGCUUACCAAGGCAACGAUGCGUAGCCGACCUGAGAGGGUGAUCGGCCACACUGGAACUGAGACACGGUCCAGACUCCUACGGGAGGCAGCAGUAGGGAAUCUUCCGCAAUGGGCGAAAGCCUGACGGAGCAACGCCGCGUGAGUGAUGAAGGUCUUCGGAUCGUAAAACUCUGUUAUUAGGGAAGAACAAAUGUGUAAGUAACUAUGCACGUCUUGACGGUACCUAAUCAGAAAGCCACGGCUAACUACGUG